RNAcentral lists this ribosomal RNA (253 nucleotides) under uncultured prokaryote. RNAcentral's name for it is "partial 16S ribosomal RNA". It matches the Rfam family "Bacterial small subunit ribosomal RNA", at positions 524 to 776 of the family's 1533-position model. The record is from RNAcentral.
UACGGAGGGGGCUAGCGUUGUUCGGAAUUACUGGGCGUAAAGCGUACGUAGGCGGCUUGCCAAGUCAGAGGUGAAAUCCCACGACUCAAUCGUGGAACUGCCUUUGAGACUGGUUCGCUUGAAGAUGGGAGAGGUCAGUGGAAUUCCGAGUGUAGAGGUGAAAUUCGUAGAUAUUCGGAAGAACACCAGUGGCGAAGGCGGCUCACUGGACCGGCAUUGACGCUGAGGAGCGAAAGCUAGGGGAGCAAACGGG